CCUACGGGAGGCAGCAGUAGGGAAUCUUCCACAAUGGACGAAAGUCUGAUGGAGCAACGCCGCGUGAGUGAAGAAGGGUUUCGGCUCGUAAAGCUCUGUUGGUAGUGAAGAAGGAUAGAGGUAGUAACUGGCCUUUGUUUGACGGUAAUCAACCAGAAAGUCACGGCUAACUACGUGCCAGCAGCCGCGGUAAUACGUAGGU
RNAcentral lists this ribosomal RNA (202 nucleotides) under uncultured bacterium. RNAcentral's name for it is "partial 16S ribosomal RNA". It matches the Rfam family "Bacterial small subunit ribosomal RNA", at positions 338 to 532 of the family's 1533-position model. The record is from RNAcentral.